RNAcentral lists this ribosomal RNA (497 nucleotides) under uncultured bacterium. Its description in RNAcentral is "partial 16S ribosomal RNA". It matches the Rfam family "Bacterial small subunit ribosomal RNA", at positions 28 to 507 of the family's 1533-position model. The record is from RNAcentral.
GAUGAACGCUGGCGGCGUGCCUAAUACAUGCAAGUCGAGCGAACGGACGAGAAGCUUGCUUCUCUGAUGUUAGCGGCGGACGUGUGAGUAACACGUGGAUAACCUACCUAUAAGACUGGGAUAACUUCGGGAAACCGGAGCUAACACCGGAUAAUAUUUUGAACCGCAGGGUUCAAAAGUGAAAGACGGUCUUGCUGUCACUUAUAGCUGGAUCUGCGCUGCUUUAGCUAGUUGGUAAGGUAACGGCUUACCAAGGCAACGAUGCAUAGCCGACCUGAGAGGGUGAUCGGCCACACUGGAACUGAGACACGGUCCAGACUCCUACGGGAGGCAGCAGUAGGGAAUCGUACGCAAUGGGCGAAAACCUGACGGAGCAACGCCGCGUGAGUGAUGAAGGUCUUCGGAGCGUAAAACUCUGUUAUUAGGGAAGAACAUAUGUGUAAGUAACUGUGCACAUCUUGACGGUACCUAAUCAGAAAGCCCCGGCUAACUACGUG